This 81-nucleotide small nucleolar RNA is filed under the name Crocodylus porosus (Australian saltwater crocodile). Its description in RNAcentral is "Small nucleolar RNA SNORD100 (ENSCPRG00005005745.1)". Lineage: Eukaryota; Metazoa; Chordata; Crocodylia; Crocodylidae. The record is from RNAcentral.
UGCAUCUAUAAUGAAAAUUUGGCCCCUUUGACUGAAACAAGUGAAGUGCCUAAAUUGUUACCCAAUUUUUUCUGAGAUGUA